CCUACGGGAGGCAGCAGUGAGGAAUAUUGGACAAUGGGCGGAAGCCUGAACCAGCCAAGUAGCGUGCGGGAUGAAGGCCCUACGGGUCGUAAACCGCUUUUGCACGGGGAUAACACCCUCCACUUGUGGAGGUCUGCAGGUACCGUGCGAAUAAGGGCCGGCUAGUUCCGGGCCAGCAGCCGCGGUAAUACGGAAGGACCGAGCGUUAUCCGGUUUUAUUGGGCGUAAAGGGAGCGUAGGCGGGCGUUCAAGCCGGAUGUAAAAUCGCGCGGCUCAACCGCGCCCCGCAGUUGAAACUGGACGCCUUGAGUUCACAACAGGCAGGCGGAAUUCGUGGUGUAGCGGUGAAAUGCAUAGAUAUCACGAGGAACCCCGAUUGCGAAGGCAGCCUGCCGGGGUGCGACUGACGCUGAGGCUCGAAGGUGCGGGUAUCAAACAGGAUUAGAUACCCUGGUAGUC
This 459-nucleotide ribosomal RNA is filed under the name uncultured bacterium. Its description in RNAcentral is "partial 16S ribosomal RNA". It matches the Rfam family "Bacterial small subunit ribosomal RNA", at positions 338 to 795 of the family's 1533-position model. The record is from RNAcentral.